AUAUUUGACCAAUUUUUUUUUCAAGAAUUUUAAAGUUAUGAUAUCAUUAAUAUCUUAGUUGUUAUUGAGAUCGUGUACAGUUGUGAGAAAUGAGUGUUGUUAGGUAGAGGCCUCUAAUUUAAAGAAAAAUUCUGCAAAUAUUCUUGGUUAUUACUUAUUAUUGAUAUUGUUUAAUUUGAGAAAAAUGAGAAUAUUGUUUGGUGGCGCAUCUAAUUUAAGAAAAAGUCUGCCAAAAUUUUGUUAAAAAGUUUUAAAGUUUGAUUUUUGAUUAUUGUUUAUGUUAACUUUCAUGUAAGAAUGUCAGUAGUAGUGGUCAAGGCAGGGGUAGGGUGACAAUGACCCCUGGUACUUCUGUGGUUGCCUCCUUACCACUGUUUACCUCAGCUCCUCCCAGACCUACCAUAUCAUCACCAUCCUUUAUUUCGGUCAUUUUUAAUGAUCCCAACUCGCACUAUGUGAGCCCUCAUCCCCAUAUGCCUACAUCGGUAUGGGCUCCACCUCCUCCACUUUCGCUACAGACAAGUACACCACCACCGCCUCCACCUGUAGACUCAUCAUAGGCAUCUGCAGCAGAGCAAAGGCAACAGACUACUGCCAGAGCUCAAUGGAGAUAACAGUGAUGACUUUUAUGCGUAUUCUAAUUAUUAUAUCAAUUCCUUGUUAUCCAAUAUUUUAUGCCCUUAAUGCAGUGACUCGGGCAAUAACGGAGGACAUUAAAUUGAUGUAUGAUAUGACACAACAUGGCCAAGUUAUGAAAAGAUUUCUAAAGAGGUUAGACAAAGGUGAUUCGUAAAGUUAAAGGAUAAUGAGAUGAGAUUUCCAAGUUGAGAAGGUGAUGACCAGAGAAUUAGUUUACCUCGAGGUCCCUAGUUUGAGGUGAAAUGAUAAAUGCACUAUGCAGUUAAAGAAGGAACUUUCUAAAAUUCCUUAGAAUGGUAUCAAACAAUCAAAAGCUUACGCCCAUGAUGCAACUGAACAACUUUAAUUUGACGUCUAGGGCAUAGAAAUUAAAAUACGGUUCUGGAUCACAAAUUAUUGCGUUGCAUUAUUGUCUAGAAAAAUGGCAUACACUUCAUAAAGAAUGGCAUCUUACAGAUGUUAGGCAAGCAGCGCAAAUGAAAUGAAACUUGACGACGAUGCCACUUAC
This is a long non-coding RNA of Arachis ipaensis, 1147 nucleotides long. RefSeq lists it as uncharacterized. The record is from RefSeq and is a predicted model, not a curated record. NCBI's taxonomy places the organism in Eukaryota, Viridiplantae, Streptophyta, Magnoliopsida, Fabales, Fabaceae.